UAGGGAAUUUUCGUUCAAUGGGCGGCAAGCCUGAACGAGCAAUGCCGCGUGAACGAGGAAGGUCUUCGGAUCGUAAAGUUCUGUUGAAGGGGAAAAAGAGCGGAGAGAGGAAAUGGUCUCCGAUUGAUAUUACCCUUCGAGGAAGUCACGGCUAACUACGUGCC
RNAcentral lists this ribosomal RNA (164 nucleotides) under uncultured bacterium. Its description in RNAcentral is "partial 16S ribosomal RNA". It matches the Rfam family "Bacterial small subunit ribosomal RNA", at positions 355 to 509 of the family's 1533-position model. The record is from RNAcentral.